UCCUCGCUGGCACACCGCUCGGUGCCUAGCUCUGAUACCAUCUGUAACAGCCCAAGCCCCCCACCGUUAAUAGAUAUUGUCAUAUUUGGGCUUUACCUUUUGGGCCUUUUCUCAGGUUUUUAAAACGCGUCUGCUAGUGAAAGGUUUCCUCAACCUUAUAAA
This is a long non-coding RNA of Cucurbita moschata (crookneck pumpkin), 162 nucleotides long. RefSeq lists it as uncharacterized. The transcript has 2 exons. The record is from RefSeq and is a predicted model, not a curated record. NCBI's taxonomy places the organism in Eukaryota, Viridiplantae, Streptophyta, Magnoliopsida, Cucurbitales, Cucurbitaceae.